This 253-nucleotide ribosomal RNA is filed under the name uncultured bacterium. RNAcentral's name for it is "partial 16S ribosomal RNA". It matches the Rfam family "Bacterial small subunit ribosomal RNA", at positions 524 to 776 of the family's 1533-position model. The record is from RNAcentral.
UACGUAGGGUGCAAGCGUUGUCCGGAAUUAUUGGGCGUAAAGAGCUCGUAGGCGGUUUGUCGCGUCUGCUGUGAAAACCCGAGGCUCAACCUCGGGCCUGCAGUGGGUACGGGCAGACUAGAGUGCGGUAGGGGAGAUUGGAAUUCCUGGUGUAGCGGUGAAAUGCGCAGAUAUCAGGAGGAACACCGACGGCGAAGGCAGCACUCUGGGCCGGUACUGACGCUGAGGAGCGAAAGCAUGGGGAGCGAACAGG